RNAcentral lists this ribosomal RNA (599 nucleotides) under uncultured Clostridium sp. RNAcentral describes it as "bacterial SSU rRNA". It matches the Rfam family "Bacterial small subunit ribosomal RNA", at positions 92 to 708 of the family's 1533-position model. Lineage: Bacteria; Bacillati; Bacillota; Clostridia; Eubacteriales; Clostridiaceae. The record is from RNAcentral.
AGAGCGGCGGACGGGUGAGUAACGCGUGGGUAACCUGCCCUGUACACACGGAUAACAUACCGAAAGGUAUUCUAUUACGAAGAAUAAUAUGCUUUUGUCGCAUGGUAGAAGUAUCAAAGCUCCGGCGGUACAGGAUGGACCCGCGUCUGAUUAGCUAGUUGGUAAGGUAACGGCUUACCAAGGCGACGAUCAGUAGCCGACCUGAGAGGGUGAUCGGCCACAUUGGAACUGAGACACGGUCCAAACUCCUACGGGAGGCAGCAGUGGGGAAUAUUGCACAAUGGGCGAAAGCCUGAUGCAGCAACGCCGCGUGAGCGAUGAAGGCCUUCGGGUCGUAAAGCUCUGUCCUCAAGGAAGAUAAUGACGGUACUUGAGGAGGAAGCCCCGGCUAACUACGUGCCAGCAGCCGCGGUAAUACGUAGGGGGCUAGCGUUAUCCGGAAUUACUGGGCGUAAAGGGUGCGUAGGUGGUUUCUUAAGUCAGAGGCGAAAGGCUACGGCUCAACCGUAGUGAGCCUUUGAAACUGGGAAACUUGAGUGCAGGAGAGGAGAGUGGAAUUCCUAGUGUAGCGGUGAAAUGCGUAGAUAUUAGGAGGAACA